CCUACGGGUGGCAGCAGUGGGGGAUAUUGCACAAUGGGGGAAACCCUGAUGCAGCGACGCCGCGUGAGUGAAGAAGUAUUUCGGUAUGUAAAGCUCUAUCAGCAGGGAAGAAAAUGACAGUACCUGACCAAGAAGCCCCGGCUAACUACGUGCCAGCAGCCGCGGUAAUACGUAGGGGGCAAGCGUUAUCCGGUUUUACUGGGUGUAAAGGGAGCGUAGACGGUUAUGUAAGUCUGGAGUGAAAGCCCGGGGCUUAACCCCGGGACUGCUUUGGAAACUGUGCAGCGAGAGUGCAGGAGAGGUAAGUGGAAUUCCUGGUGUAGCGGUGAAAGGCGUAGAUAUUAGGAGGAACACCAGUGGCGAAGGCGGCUUACUGGACUGUAACUGACGUUGAGGCUCGAAAGCGUGGGGAGCAAACAGGAUUAGAUACCCCUGUAGUC
RNAcentral lists this ribosomal RNA (440 nucleotides) under uncultured bacterium. RNAcentral describes it as "partial 16S ribosomal RNA". It matches the Rfam family "Bacterial small subunit ribosomal RNA", at positions 338 to 795 of the family's 1533-position model. The record is from RNAcentral.